RNAcentral lists this transfer RNA (76 nucleotides) under Bacteroides xylanisolvens. RNAcentral describes it as "tRNA-Thr(tgt)". It matches the Rfam family "tRNA". Rfam says of the family: Transfer RNA (tRNA) molecules are approximately 80 nucleotides in length. Their secondary structure includes four short double-helical elements and three loops (D, anti-codon, and T loops). The record is from RNAcentral. Lineage: Bacteria; Pseudomonadati; Bacteroidota; Bacteroidia; Bacteroidales; Bacteroidaceae. RNAcentral also lists the same sequence under 3 other names.
GCUGGCGUAGCUCAGUUGGUAGAGCAACUGAUUUGUAAUCAGUAGGUCGUAGGUUCAAGUCCUAUUGCCAGCUCCA